UGCAAGUCGAGCGCGGGAAGCGAGCGGAUCCCCUUCGGGGGUGACGCUCGUGGAACGAGCGGCGGACGGGUGAGUAACACGUGGGCAACCUGCCUGUAAGACCGGAAUAACCCCGGGAAACCGGGGCUAAUGCCGGGUAACACUUUCCUCCGCAUGGAGGAGAGUUGAAAGAUGGCUUUUAGCUAUCACUUACAGAUGGGCCCGCGGCGCAUUAGCUAGUUGGUGAGGUAACGGCUCACCAAGGCGACGAUGCGUAGCCGACCUGAGAGGGUGAUCGGCCACACUGGGACUGAGACACGGCCCAGACUCCUACGGGAGGCAGCAGUAGGGAAUCUUCCGCAAUGGACGAAAGUCUGACGGAGCAACGCCGCGUGAACGAUGAAGGUCUUCGGAUCGUAAAGUUCUGUUGUUAGGGAAGAACAAGUACCGUGCGAAUAGAGCGGUACCUUGACGGUACCUAACGAGGAAGCCCCGGCUAACUACGUGCCAGCAGCCGCGGUAAUACGUAGGGGGCAAGCGUUGUCCGGAAUUAUUGGGCGUAAAGCGCGCGCAGGCGGUUUCUUAAGUCUGAUGUGAAAGCCCACGGCUCAACCGUGGAGGGUCAUUGGAAACUGGGGAACUUGAGGACAGAAGAGGAGAGUGGAAUUCCACGUGUAGCGGUGAAAUGCGUAGAUAUGUGGAGGAACACCAGUGGCGAAGGCGACU
Molecule: ribosomal RNA, 705 nt
Filed under: Halobacillus sp. JC391
Lineage: Bacteria; Bacillati; Bacillota; Bacilli; Caryophanales; Bacillaceae
Description: bacterial SSU rRNA
Rfam family: Bacterial small subunit ribosomal RNA
Source: RNAcentral